AGUGAACGCUGGCGGUAGGCCUAACACAUGCAAGUCGAACGGCAGCACAGUAAGAGCUUGCUCUUACGGGUGGCGAGUGGCGGACGGGUGAGGAAUACAUCGGAAUCUACUUUUUCGUGGGGGAUAACGUAGGGAAACUUACGCUAAUACCGCAUACGACCUACGGGUGAAAGCAGUGGAUCUUCGGACCUUGCGCGAUUCAAUGAGCCGAUGUCGGAUUAGCUAGUUGGCGGGGUAAAGGCCCACCAAGGCGACGAUCCGUAGCUGGUCUGAGAGGAUGAUCAGCCACACUGGAACUGAGACACGGUCCAGACUCCUAAGGGAGGCAGCAGUGGGGAAUAUUGGACAAUGGGCGCAAGCCUGAUCCAGCCAUACCGCGUGGGUGAAGAAGGCCUUCGGGUUGUAAAGCCCUUUUGUUGGGAAAGAAAAGCAGCAGGUUAAUACCCCGCUGUUCUGACGGUACCCAAAGAAUAAGCACCGGCUAACUUCGUG
This 492-nucleotide ribosomal RNA is filed under the name uncultured bacterium. Its description in RNAcentral is "partial 16S ribosomal RNA". It matches the Rfam family "Bacterial small subunit ribosomal RNA", at positions 29 to 507 of the family's 1533-position model. The record is from RNAcentral.